GGACAUCAGGAGGUUAGUGCAAUGGCAUAAGCCAGCUUGACUGCGAGCGUGACGGCGCGAGCAGGUGCGAAAGCAGGUCAUAGUGAUCCGGUGGUUCUGAAUGGAAGGGCCAUCGCUCAACGGAUAAAAGGUACUCCGGGGAUAACAGGCUGAUACCGCCCAAGAGUUCAUAUCGACGGCGGUGUUUGGCACCUCGAUGUCGGCUCAUCACAUCCUGGGGCUGAAGUAGGUCCCAAGGGUAUGGCUGUUCGCCAUUUAAAGUGGUACGCGAGCUGGGUUUAGAACGUCGUGAGACAGUUCGGUCCCUAUCUGCCGUGGGCGCUGGAGAACUGAGGGGGGCUGCUCCUAGUACGAGAGGACCGGAGUGGACGCAUCACUGGUGUUCGGGUUGUCAUGCCAAUGGCACUGCCCGGUAGCUAAAUGCGGAAGAGAUAAGUGCUGAAAGCAUCUAAGCACGAAACUUGCC
Molecule: ribosomal RNA, 466 nt
Filed under: Escherichia coli
Lineage: Bacteria; Pseudomonadati; Pseudomonadota; Gammaproteobacteria; Enterobacterales; Enterobacteriaceae
Description: partial 23S ribosomal RNA
Rfam family: Bacterial large subunit ribosomal RNA
Source: RNAcentral